CGGAGGAGUAUGAGACUCUGUUUUUCUAAAGACCUCCAACUUGAAUUGGAAGGAGGCCAGGGCCUGCCAGCGGGGAGAGCCGAGAGUGAAGGAAAAUAAUUGGACUGUAGGGUGUGGACUCCGAGCUGUUUGAACCUGUGAAGCUGAAACCAAGGUUGGGCCAGGAGAUUGGGUCCUAAUCAACAGCCUCAAAAGAAAACACUGCCACUUGCCCAAGUGGGACAGACCAUACAAAGUGCUACUGUCAACAUCUACCACAGUCAAAAUAGCGGAGAGAGCCACCUGGAUACAUCUAACACAUUGUAAACGAGUAAGCCUUCCUUAGAAAGAGACAGAGGAUAGGAGCUGUCUUCCUCUACAGUUUUCCAAGGCCGGGCCACUGUGACAGAAGUCCAGCUACAAAGGGGAUUCUUUGCGUUAGGCAAUUUUUCGUCUCAAACCUGGUGAAGAAAACAACACUGUCCAGUGGGGUAAAAGAGCCUAGUGGAUACUGGGAGGGCAGGGCGGUCCUAUCUCUGUGAAGUCAUGGGGAGUUACAAGGGAAAAAUUUAAAAAUGUGUGGAACUUUUGAUAAUAACUGUACUGCCCUACAUUUUGGUACUGUUAACAUAUUGAUCACAACAGGCACCGGUCUUGGUCAAAUGUCCGCGAUGGGGCCUAUAAGAUCAUCCGUGGUGGAAAUGGGUGAACCAGACUGCCCACACACUUUCUACAAAAAGACUGUUUACAUUUUCCUGCCCAGUAAUAUUCAACAGCCGAUGUGUUCUGCAGGAUGCCUGAUGGGAAACAGGGCCUUCAAGGACACAGCAAAGAGGCCUUGUUCGAAUGUUAUCUGAAGCCUAGGCGAGCUAAUGACACACACACACAGUCGACAUUCACUAUGUUGGCCUACAAAUGCAAAGUAUACAAAUGUGUGAUGAGAAAUAUGAUGACAUUUUAAAUGAUUAACUUAUAAUGAUAUGGAGUGAUGCUCAGUAAUGAUCUCUGUUCCGAAAAUCCAUGUGAUGAAGCUCAGAGUGGUGAUUUUGAAUUAUCCAUUGAAACGGAUAAAAGGAGGGACUGAUGGAGAUAAUUUCCAAACACUGUUAAUGACUUAAGAAUAUAAUAAUCAAGUGCCUUGUAUUAUUAAUUACCUUA
This is a long non-coding RNA of Clupea harengus (Atlantic herring), 1137 nucleotides long. The record is from Ensembl. Lineage: Eukaryota; Metazoa; Chordata; Actinopteri; Clupeiformes; Clupeidae.